Molecule: ribosomal RNA, 499 nt
Filed under: uncultured bacterium
Lineage: Bacteria
Description: bacterial SSU rRNA
Rfam family: Bacterial small subunit ribosomal RNA
Source: RNAcentral
GACGAACGCUGGCGGCGUGCCUAACACAUGCAAGUCGAGCGGGGUUGAGGCGAGAGGUAACUCGAGCUUCUACCUAGCGGCGGACGGGUGAGUAACGCGUGGGCAACCUGCCUCAAGGUUUGGGAUAACAGCCCGAAAGGGCUGCUAAUACCGGAUAUGCCUAUGGCCUCGCAUGGGGCUAUGAGCAAAGGGGAAACCCGCCUUGAGAUGGGCCCGCGUCCCAUCAGCUAGUUGGUGAGGUAACAGCUCACCAAGGCGACGACGGGUAGCCGGCCUGAGAGGGUGACCGGCCACACUGGGACUGAGACACGGCCCAGACUCCUACGGGGGGCAGCAGUGGGGGAUCUUGCACAAUGGGCGAAAGCCUGAUGCAGCGACGCCGCGUGAGCGAAGAAGGCCUCGGUUGUAAGCUCUGUCUGGAGGGACGAACAAAAUGACGGUACCUCCGGAGGAAGCCACGGCUAACUACGUGCCAGCAGCCGCGGAACUACGGUCUCUA